Molecule: transfer RNA, 63 nt
Filed under: Cavelerius excavatus
Lineage: Eukaryota; Metazoa; Arthropoda; Insecta; Hemiptera; Blissidae
Also listed under: 1 other name
Description: tRNA-Thr
Source: RNAcentral
GUUUUAAUAGUUUAAAAAAAACAAUGAUUUUGUAAAUCAUAAAUAGAAAAAAUCUUUAAAACA